GUCAAGGGCAAAGUCCAGCUCCCAUAGGAGUUCGGACGAAGCUUACCAGCAGUUGAAGUUGAGGAUGAAGCUCGGCUCCCGUAGGAGUCCGGACAGAGUUUGCCUACAGUCGAAGUUGGAGGAGGAGUCCGGCUCCCGUAAGAGCCCGGACGGAGCUUGCCUGCAGUUGAGGUCGGAGAUGGAGUCCGAUUCUCGUAGGAGUCCGGAUGGAGUCUUCUUAUGAUCAGAGUCGAGGGCGAAGUCUGGCUCC
RNAcentral lists this long non-coding RNA (250 nucleotides) under Elaeis guineensis (African oil palm). RNAcentral's name for it is "long non-coding RNA (EGUI_LNC041702)". Lineage: Eukaryota; Viridiplantae; Streptophyta; Magnoliopsida; Arecales; Arecaceae. The record is from RNAcentral.